RNAcentral lists this transfer RNA (70 nucleotides) under Stereum hirsutum FP-91666 SS1. RNAcentral's name for it is "tRNA-Trp (CCA) (tRNA-Trp-CCA-9-1)". It matches the Rfam family "tRNA". From Rfam's summary of the family: Transfer RNA (tRNA) molecules are approximately 80 nucleotides in length. Their secondary structure includes four short double-helical elements and three loops (D, anti-codon, and T loops). The record is from RNAcentral. Lineage: Eukaryota; Fungi; Basidiomycota; Agaricomycetes; Russulales; Stereaceae.
AGCUCGAUAGCGCAACGGUAGCGCGUUUCUCCCAGGAGAGAAGGAUCUCGGUUCGACUCCGAGCGAGCUA